Molecule: ribosomal RNA, 305 nt
Filed under: Salinivibrio proteolyticus
Lineage: Bacteria; Pseudomonadati; Pseudomonadota; Gammaproteobacteria; Vibrionales; Vibrionaceae
Description: bacterial SSU rRNA
Rfam family: Bacterial small subunit ribosomal RNA
Source: RNAcentral
AAGCGGUGGAGCAUGUGGUUUAAUUCGAUGCAACGCGAAGAACCUUACCUACUCUUGACAUCCAGCGAAUCCUUUAGAGAUAGAGGAGUGCCUUCGGGAACGCUGAGACAGGUGCUGCAUGGCUGUCGUCAGCUCGUGUUGUGAAAUGUUGGGUUAAGUCCCGCAACGAGCGCAACCCUUAUCCUUGUUUGCCAGCACGUAAUGGUGGGAACUCCAGGGAGACUGCCGGUGAUAAACCGGAGGAAGGUGGGGACGACGUCAAGUCAUCAUGGCCCUUACGAGUAGGGCUACACACGUGCUACAAU